Long non-coding RNA from Lonchura striata (white-rumped munia), 1100 nucleotides. RefSeq lists it as uncharacterized. The record is from RefSeq and is a predicted model, not a curated record. Lineage: Eukaryota; Metazoa; Chordata; Aves; Passeriformes; Estrildidae.
GGAUCGCCCCUCGGACUCCGUCCCGACCGCCCCGGCAGGUGUCUUGUCACAGUAUCGCCAGCGGGUUUCUAUUGCCAACCAGCGGCUUUGCUCGGUAUGUACACACACACUGUGCACGGACAUGGACGCACUCCCAGGACACCAUCCCAAGAAAACCCCAUCCCAACAAAUUCCUGUCCCAUGAAGCAUUGGAUGGCCAGGCCUGAAGGCAUUUGCACACCUUGCACAGCACUUGCAGAGUUUGCACAGCUUUUGCACAGCCUUUGCACGGGGCUUGCACAGCCUGUACAUGGAGUUGGCUUGGCUUGCAUGGCAUUUGCACACUCAGCGUGUUACACAGGCCCUUGCACACACCACCCCCAGCAGUCAGUGACCCCCUAACCCAGCUGGGGCAGGAGGCAGAGGAAGGGCUCGCAGAGGAAGGAUUCAUUAACUGUUAUUCUUCUGUCAGUCUCUUAUUAAAUCCAGCCUGAUGUUACUCAGAUACUAAAGGUCGUUUUAAAAACCAUCUGACAAGACCUCCCAGACCUCAGGCCUCACUCCCCCCUGGCCAGGGUGCUGAGACUCCACUCGGGAGCCCUCCCAGAACCAGAACAUGGAGCAGGGCUCAGUGCUCAGGGCAUCUCUUCCCAAAGAUGGGAAGGCUGAAAAGCACUGUCUGUUCCUGUCCCACUUAAUCCCACCUCAAAGCACAGCCCCAGGCUCCAAACUGUGCUCCUGAUGCUCCCAUUGAAGCCUAUGGCAGCACUCAGGGCUGCCCAAGGAAGGUCAGCAAAAGGAUGGAAGGAUGAUGGGCUGGAAAGGACUGUUGAAAGUUAUCCAUAAACCUCUGGGCUUCUUGAAAUGGUUUCUGGAGCAUAUUGCCUGGAAUCGUUUCACACAGUCAGUUUUAUGUAAAACAGUGAAAGGUAUAAAAAUGGUGAGUGUGGGCCUAGCAUCAAGCCCCCAAAUCUGUACAUCCUCCUGCAGGUUGGGGUGCAUGUACCUGCCACACAUGUGGAGCCCCAGGCUCCACCAAAUCCCCUGGCACUGGAACUGUCACUGUCACUGCAUUUUUGAUGUGUAUGUUUCAAAAAUUAAAGUUACAUUGAUGCAACAGA